Molecule: ribosomal RNA, 42 nt
Filed under: Henningsomyces candidus
Lineage: Eukaryota; Fungi; Basidiomycota; Agaricomycetes; Agaricales; Schizophyllaceae
Also listed under: 1 other name
Description: partial 18S ribosomal RNA
Source: RNAcentral
UCGUACAAGGUUUCCGUAGGUGAACCUGCGGAAGGAUCAUUA